RNAcentral lists this ribosomal RNA (368 nucleotides) under uncultured organism. Its description in RNAcentral is "bacterial SSU rRNA". It matches the Rfam family "Bacterial small subunit ribosomal RNA", at positions 526 to 896 of the family's 1533-position model. The record is from RNAcentral.
CGGAGGGUGCAAGCGUUAUCCGGAUUCACUGGGUUUAAAGGGUGCGUAGGUGGGUUGGUAAGUCAGUGGUGAAAUCUCCAGGCUUAACUUGGAAACUGCCAUUGAUACUAUCAGUCUUGAAUACCGUGGAGGUCAGCGGAAUAUGUCAUGUAGCGGUGAAAUGCUUAGAUAUGACAUAGAACACCAAUUGCGAAGGCAGCUGGCUACACGAAUAUUGACACUGAGGCACGAAAGCGUGGGGAUCAAACAGGAUUAGAUACCCUGGUAGUCCACGCCCUAAACGAUGGAUACUCGACAUACGCGAUACACAGUGUGUGUCUGAGCGAAAGCAUUAAGUAUCCCACCUGGGAAGUACGAUCGCAAGAUUG